RNAcentral lists this small RNA (5887 nucleotides) under Rattus norvegicus (Norway rat). RNAcentral describes it as "uncharacterized LOC102556873". Lineage: Eukaryota; Metazoa; Chordata; Mammalia; Rodentia; Muridae. The record is from RNAcentral.
CUCAGGGUCUGCAUGACCCAGUUGGGAACAAGGAUCCCAUGUUGAUUGACUCCCCACCUUGACAAGUAUCUUGUUGUUGGGAUGACCAGCAUGUGACUAUUGGGACAAGAUAGAAGUAUUUACAAAGCCAACAGUUUUGACCAAUUUAUGCGAAUUAGGGCAGAUUUGAGAGUACACUUAAGAGUUUUAAACUUUGUUUGAAAAAACAAAAAACAGUGUUCUUGGAAUAGUUUCUUUGGAGUAGAGCGCAUAAGGCCAAAUUUUAUCUGAUUGUUGGUGAGCACCUGUGGGUUUUUGUGUUCCUUAUGUAGUAUCCCUUAGGUUUGGGUCGAACAAUGUAAACCUUAUCAUUUCCACUGUUUUUAACAUCUCAAAUGAUGUCCCACGUCCUAGGUGCCAAUCCACAAAUGCCCACUCCUACAUCUUCUCCCUCCUCCCUCCAUUUUGCCACUAUGAUGCUGCUCUAAACUCACCCAACUUUUCGAAACCCACCACUCCAGCCUCCUCCUACGUUCGAGCAUCACAUCUCCACAGGACCAAGGGCCUUCCAUCCCAUUGGUUUCAAAUAAUGCCAUCCUCUGAUAUAUAUUGGUUGGUGGUCUAUUUUCUGGGAAGCUCUGGGUCAUCAGCCAGCAUAUAUUGUUCUUCCUCUAUUGCAGGACCUCUCUGUCACAGGACAUCCACUGUUUAAGCACCACCACUACCUCAGGAAGUCCACUGUCUGUGUGUCAACUCCCACUGUUACAGGACCACAAGUGUCUCAGCACUUCAACUAUCACAGCACUUCUACUGUUCAGGAGCUCAAGAGUCUCAGCAUCUCAAGUGUCACAGGACCUCCUUUGUCCAAGAACUGGACUGUCCAAGCAAUACUGCUAUUGCGGGACCUCCACUGUCACAGGAUUUCCACUGUAGGAGCACUACAACUGUCUCAGGACACCCACUGUCCUAUAACCUCCACUAUCCCAGGAAUUCCACUGUCGUAGCACCACCCGUAGCAACUAAAGUGUUUCAGGACAUCAACUGAAGCAAGAUCUCCCAUGAUUCUGCAACUUCACUGCCCCAGGAUCUCUACAGUGACAGGAAUACUUCUGUAUCAGCAAUUCCAAUUUUGCAGGACCUCCACUGUAGCAGAACCUCAAUUGUGCAGCAGCUCCCCUGUAUGUAGAUUGACCUCCACGAUCUCAGUGCCUCCACUUUCAAAGGACCUUCACUGUCACAGAACCGGCGCUAUUUCAGUGCCUCCACUGUCGCAGGACCUACCUCUUCACAGGAUCUGCACUGUUGCAGCAACUGUAAUUUCAAUUUUUCAAAGUCAUUGCUGGUUAUUAGAUUUCAGGCUGAAUGAAAUGAGAUGUUACUUUUGAAAGCAUAAGAAUUUGUUCUAUACCUCUUGUGAUAAAUGCCGUGUUUGCUAGGACCAGUAAACUAUGGAAGACUUCUUCAGCUCAUACCACUCUCCACCUCACUUUGUGGAAGCUGGUGUUUUUAGAGUGUGAUAAACUUCAGGUGAAUGGAUGCAUUCAGCUGCACCACGCUCUAGAGUGGACUACACAGCAGUCAUAUUGAGUCCUUGCUGGGAAGAGAAGAAAUCCAGAAGAAGGAGAAGGCUUGGGUUGGGGGAAGAAUCAUAAAAUACUUAGAGGAUAUUAGAAGGUAAGAAUUAUGGGGAACUGGAAAACAGAGCCAAAGGAAGAAUGAGCACAGAGCAAACUGGGAAGGACAAAGUACAAAGGCACUUGGGUUUUGCCAUCUGCGUGUUCUCUGGACAAUCUCCCUGGGCCACAUUUCUGGGAGAAAACUCUUCCCCCACCCCCUUGUAAGGUUUCAUUCUUGAAGGAAAGCAGCAACACAACUUCAUCAGUGAAUUUCCCCAUUGGAAUUGGUUCAUCCUUUAAUGCUUCUGGGAAAUCCCGAGCUGGGGAAUGUCCUGCUCUCUGCUGAGAGACAGCAGGAAAGUAGGUCGUCCUCUGUUUUCUCGUUGCUACAGCUCUUCUAAGUAUGGCUGAUUGUUGAGUGAAGACACAGGAUACUUCUGGUGUGUAUGUAUGCUUUGUUCACUGUGGGUGUUGUUGGGAGUGUCCUGAAAAGAAGGGCAUGCCCAAUGGCACUUCUGCUUCCUCUUUGACUAGCCUUAUGAUCAUAGGGAGACACUAGGCCAUUGGAAGAUGAGGAGAGCAAUGUGUCUAAGUUGUGUUCACUUCUAUUCCUAUUUAGUCCUAGAGGGAAAUCAGCAAGGGUGUGAGGAAUGCUGCUGUGCACUGACUGUGUGGUGUGAGGAAUGCUGCUGUGCACUGACUGUGUGGUGUGAGGAAUGCUGCUGUGCACUGACUGUGUGGUGUGAGGAAUGCUGCUGUGCACUGACUGUGUGGUGUGAGGAAUGCUGCUGUGCACUGACUGUGUGCUGUGAGGAAUGCUGCUGUGCAUUGACGCUGCCUUUUUUCUUUUCUCCCUACACCUGCAUCCUUCUGGUGGCUCAGGUUGGACAACUAGGUGCCCAUGACCAACUCCUCAUUGUGGAUGGAUUUAGUCUGGUUGGACUUUCUCAGGAAAGGCAGCUGAACUCAUGACUAGUACCAGUUCCACGGUUACCCUGGAAGUUGCAAAUCAAGACAUCCUCUCUCACUGCCUGUCCACCUUUCUUACCAACCCAUUGUCCUCCAUGGUGCAGAGAGAUCAGCCUCCUAUUCCUGGAGAGAAGUGUGCAUAUACCACUAGAACAGCAGCUAACAUCUGUCUCCACUGGAGACCUCUGCACUGAGGUCUGAGAUGACCUGGAACACUUUCUUACUUGUGAAAUAUCUGACUUCUUUGAUACAGUUCUCAACAAAUUACAUUAACUAUCAUUCCUGAAUUUUGUUCACUGAAGUUUUAUUUUUAUUACGCUACUCAAGUAAACUAAUACUAAAUUAUUGAAUCUGGGAAAAUGAGAAUUAGUGUAAAUGAGUAAAUAAGAAAAUGUGAAAUGUUUUUUUAUUGAAAGCAUAGGGUCAACAUUACAUUUUUAGCACAGCAUUUAAAAUACAUGCUUUUUAGAAAACCAUUUAUUUAUUUCCUUUAUAAUCCAAUAUUAGCCCUUCCUGUCUUCCCAGUAACCCACCAUACAAAUCUUCCCUCCAUCGCCCUUUCCUGAAAUGGCAAAGCUCCUUUCGGGAUUUCAACCCCCUUGAAUGCUUUUUAAAAGAUUGUAAAACAGAUCCCUGAGGAAAAAGUACGCCUUUUAUGCAGGUUUAAGCAUCUGAUUGUUUAUUUCUUUACAUUUCACAAGAGCAGACCCCUCAACCUAGACCUGGUUAGGAGCUAAAUUGCAGGAGUGACAAUGCCACAAACAGCAUGCAUCAGUGUAUAGAAAAAUCUUUUUAUUCCUUCAUAGACACAGGAACAGCUGGCUACUUGGCGGGUGAGCCAUAAAGCAGUGUCAGGUCUGGUUAUUCACCCAUUCCCCAGUUUUUGUUACCUCCUCUGUGAGGAAGAAACAUGCAUGAAAUUUUGCUAACAUCUCUGGUGAGUCCCUGAAGUAGUAGAGCUUCCUCUUUUCUUUUCUCAGCCUCUUACCACUUCCAAGGAAGAACUUCAGGAAGAGUUUUACCUACUUGAGCUCCAUUGAGUAGAGGCUGGCAAGGGUCUCUAGUGUGACAGUAAUAUGUGGAUCCAGAGCUCCUCAUUGGAAUCUGUGACAUCCAGACAGGAGCACCUGAACCCUUCCUCCAAGUCAGUUACCCCUGCUUCCACUCUGACUAAGAGUGGUCCUGGCCAUUGGGAAACCCCAGCAGAGGUGCUGGCCACCACUGUUACUGUCUCCCAGCCCAUAUGAACAGACCUCCCUCCACCACCUCCUCUACCACAGGUCCACUACACCAGAUUUUGGCGGCAUUUUAGUGGAUUUGCCCCUCCCACCACCUUCUGCAAACAAGGCAGGAUCCCAGUCUGUUCAGGUGGCUGCUGGCUAGCAAAAGAGAGUGAGGAGCAGCAGCGGUGGUCUGAGAUAUAGAAGGCCUGCCUGGACAAGGAAGCAGAGAGGAAGCACAGGGAGCAGGAGAGGAAUGGGUGACAGAUGCACUCUCAUUCCCUGAACCUGCUUCCUUCUCUUCUUUGACCACACCGACCAAACCAGGAAAACCUUCCACACUGCAGAGGCCCAAGAAACAGUCAUUCUGGUGUUGUAGUCCCCGCAGCAGCCCCCCACUAUUGAGCACAGGGAUCUGCAGUUCAUAACUAUCAGUAAAGAGGAGUUGUCCUCUGGGGAGUCUGUCUCCAGACCCAUGGAAACAAGAUGCCAGGGAGAAGCUGGAGAAGCAACAGCAAAUGCACCUUGUGGAUAUGCUAAGCAAGGAGAUCCAUGAGCUGCAAAACAAGGGGGACGGUAGUGCAGAGGAGAGUGACUGCCUGUGGAAGAAUAUGCUGGAGUGGCAGUUCCAGAAGAGACUUCAGACCAUAUUUCUUGUGUUUCUCCCAGGUUCAUUUCAGAAUACUGUUCAAGAAGCUCAACAUUUGUCGUUUACAUAGUAGAAAUUUAUAACAACAAUGUUUUUGCCCUUCUUGCCUUAGACAGUUCUACAGUGGUGUCUAUGGUUAAGUGCCAGGCAGUGAGAACCCAGGAGUGAUAUUCAGAGGUACAAAGGAUGACCUGCAGGUGUGUGCAGCCGUGCCAGUCUUGUUCACCAUGGGAUGGAAGCGGUCCCUGACCUGUGAGCCUAGAGGUGACCAGGUGCUCCAUUCUGAGACUGAGAGAGGCAGGAUGCCCACUCAAGGGUCCAUAGCAGGGAAGGUUUUCAAGCUAUGUACAGUGCUGGAAAAGCCUACACAGGGCAUACAGUUAGCAGUGAUGUGUUUGCAGGGAGUCCAAGGAACCAGCUUUGUACUGAUGCAGGCCUGUCAUCAGUGCCUUGGCGUUUGUGGGACUCAUCCACAGAGGCAUGCAACUCAGAGAACGGUACCCCAACUUGGUGCACAGGAACUCUUUCAGGUGUCACUUGAUUGUCACAGGUUUCUGCUCGGUCAGCAAGGAAGGGAAGCCUAGCCCUGUGCCAGGAAUGACUGCAUAUGGUCAACACACACUACCCUGGAAGACCCGAGAGUUCAAGGACGGCCAACUUUCACUUAAGCAAACUUGUCCACAGACUGCGUGGGUCCCAUCAGCUGAGAGUAGCCUCCACAUUGCAGUGAUGUGCAAACUUCUGCCUUUCAGCCAUGAUGGACUUUAGGAUCUAACCUGAGGACCCUACACAAGGCACAGGUAGGUGAUGUGUAAAUGAGGCAUGUUACUGGGUCAGGUCUUCAGUGCAGUGUCUUAAGCUGUCAGGCUUUUGGGAGGGCAUAUGCUUCUCUAUUAAAUGAGCUGGCUUCUCUGAAGGCCUCAACUCUGCUGUGUCUGCCGCUCAUGCUCCCUCCUCCAAGAAUCUAACUGUCCCUAGCUCUCUGUGACUGGCUGGUCAGUCAGCCUUCAUGCCACUCCACAGCCACUCUACAACACAGAGCCCACACUGUCCUCUGCAGAAGUUUCACAGGGCUGCUGCUUUAGUCUCUCUGUUGCGCUAUGGGGGUCCAAAGUCAAGUUUCUUAGGUCCCUAGGUGUCCCUGAAAAGGCUCUAGAACAAGGAAGAGGUGAAGAAAUCAGGAAAUAAACUCCUGCAGUACUUCAUGACUACCACUGGAGGGCUCUACACCUUUCUGGUCCUAGUGUGCCACUCAGCAAGCCCUCUCACUCACUCUAAGGUUCUGAGCCUGAUGGAGAGGACUCCUGCUAAACCCAGUGUUCCCAAGAAACUGGCUGUACCGGCAGGGCUAACUGUAGAGGAUUCUCCACGACCCUGAGAACACAAUUUGGAAAUCUCAGGUAGGCAGGGUGUGUGGGGGAGCAACCAGGGCUGGAUGGAGACCUUACCCAGAA